This 307-nucleotide long non-coding RNA is filed under the name Citrus sinensis (sweet orange). RNAcentral describes it as "long non-coding RNA (CSIN_LNC005235)". The record is from RNAcentral. Lineage: Eukaryota; Viridiplantae; Streptophyta; Magnoliopsida; Sapindales; Rutaceae.
AUGUGUACUAGUUCUUAUACAUAAUCAUGUAACAUAACUCCACAUUGAAUACCACACAUCAGCAAACAUGGAAUUCAUACAUACAUACAUCACAAACUGCACCAAAUAGUACCCAGGGGAAAUAACUCUCAAUAUUCAUCAGGAUCAUCAUCGCACAAGUAGAGCAGGGGAAAAACCUCUCAAUACCCGGCGGAAUUUAGCUACAUCGCUCGGAUAGAGUAACCUAACUCUCAAUACAUAUGCGCAGAGUCUACAGGGACGGGUACAUAUAUAGUGACUAGCAAUCACAUCUCAUGACUCAAUCAAA